RNAcentral lists this transfer RNA (77 nucleotides) under Deltaproteobacteria bacterium. RNAcentral's name for it is "tRNA-Arg". It matches the Rfam family "tRNA". Rfam says of the family: Transfer RNA (tRNA) molecules are approximately 80 nucleotides in length. Their secondary structure includes four short double-helical elements and three loops (D, anti-codon, and T loops). The record is from RNAcentral. Lineage: Bacteria; Pseudomonadati; Myxococcota; Myxococcia.
GCGCUCGUAGCUCAGCUGGAUAGAGCGCCGGACUACGAAUCCGUAGGUCGCAGGUUCGAAUCCUGCCGAGCGCGCCA